Molecule: ribosomal RNA, 433 nt
Filed under: uncultured bacterium
Lineage: Bacteria
Description: partial 16S ribosomal RNA
Rfam family: Bacterial small subunit ribosomal RNA
Source: RNAcentral
AACGAACGCUGGCGGCAUGCCUAACACAUGCAAGUCGAACGAGACCUUCGUGUCUAGUUGCUCACGGGUGCGUAACGCGGGGGAACCUGCCCUUAGGUUCGGGAUAACACCCCGAAAGGGGUGCUAAUACCGGAUAAUGUCUUCGAACCAAAGAUUUAUCGCCUUUGGAUGGGCCCGCGUUGGAUUAACUAGUUGGUAGGGUAAAAGCCUACCAAGGCGACGAUCCAUAGCUGGUCUGAGAGGAUGAUCAGCCACACUGCGACUGAGACACGGCCCAGACUACUGCGGGAGGCAGCAGUGGGGAAUAUUGGAAAACGGGCGAAAGCCUGAUCCAGCAAUGCUGCGUGAGUGAUGAAGGCCUUAGGGUUGUAAAGCUCUUUUACCCGGGAUGAUAAUGACAGUACCGGGAGAAUAAGCACCGGCUAACUCCGUG